Molecule: ribosomal RNA, 1007 nt
Filed under: uncultured bacterium
Lineage: Bacteria
Description: bacterial SSU rRNA
Rfam family: Bacterial small subunit ribosomal RNA
Source: RNAcentral
CUUAACACAUGCAAGUCGAACGAUGAUGCUGGAGCUUGCUCCAGUUGAUUAGUGGCGAACGGGUGAGUAACACGUGAGCAAUCUGCCCUUGACUCUGGGAUAACUGCGGGAAACUGUAGCUAAUACCGGAUACUUUCACCGGGGGGCAUCCUCUGGUGAUGAAAGAAUUUCGGUCAAGGAUGAGCUCGCGGCCUAUCAGCUUGUUGGUGAGGUAACGGCUCACCAAGGCGACGACGGGUAACCGGCCUGAGAGGGUGACCGGUCACACUGGGACUGAGGCACGGCCCAGACUCCUACGGGAGGCAGCAGUGGGGAAUAUUGCACAAUGGGCGCAAGCCUGAUGCAGCAACGCCGCGUGAGGGAUGAAGGCCUUCGGGUUGUAAACCUCUUUUAGCAGGGAAGAAGCGAAAGUGACGGUACCUGCAGAAAAAGCACCGGCUAACUACGUGCCAGCAGCCGCGGUAAUACGUAGGGUGCAAGCGUUGUCCGGAAUUAUUGGGCGUAAAGAGCUCGUAGGCGGUUUGUCACGUCUGCUGUGAAAAUCCAAGGCUCAACCUUGGACUUGCAGUGGGUACGGGCAGGCUAGAGUGCGGUAGGGGAGAUGGGAAUUCCUGGUGUAGCGGUGGAAUGCGCAGAUAUCAGGAGGAACACCAAUGGCGAAGGCACAUCUCUGGGCCGUAACUGACGCUGAGGAGCGAAAGCGUGGGGAGCAAACAGGAUUAGAUACCCUGGUAGUCCACGCCGUAAACGGUGGGUGCUAGCUGUGGGCCACAUUCCACGUGGUCCGUAACGAAGUUAACGCAUUAAGCACCCCGCCUGGGGAGUACGGCCGCAAGGCUAAAACUCAAAGGAAUUGACGGGGGCCCGCACAAGCGGCGGAGCAUGCGGAUUAAUUCGAUGCAACGCGAAGAACCUUACCAAGGCUUGACAUGUAGAGGAAAAGUGCAGAGAUGCACUCCCCGCAAGGUCUCUACACAGGUGGUGCAUGGUUGUCGUCAGCUCGUGUC